This 253-nucleotide ribosomal RNA is filed under the name uncultured bacterium. RNAcentral's name for it is "partial 16S ribosomal RNA". It matches the Rfam family "Bacterial small subunit ribosomal RNA", at positions 524 to 776 of the family's 1533-position model. The record is from RNAcentral.
UACGGAGGGUGCGAGCGUUAUUCGGAAUCACUGGGUUUAAAGGGUGCGUAGGCGGCUCGAUAAGUCAGUUGUGAAAGCCCCUUGCUUAACGAGGGAGGUGCGAUUGAUACUGUCGAGCUUGAAUCGGGAUGAGGCAGGCGGAAUGUGGCAUGUAGCGGUGAAAUGCAUAGAUAUGCCAUAGAACACCGAUUGCGAAGGCAGCCUGCUGGGCCUGUAUUGACGCUGAGGCACGAAAGCGUGGGGAGCUAACAGG